UCCAGCCAGGGUAGUACAUGGGAGACCUCUGUGCUCCUGUAAGCUCCCAGCCUCAGGAAGGCCGGCCUCCCAGCACCCCACCCCGCCCUGCCUCAGGUCCCCCGUCGCCUCAGCCCCUCCCAGCCUGCUCCACUCCCUGCCUGGACAAAGCUGCAGGCAUUUCCUCCUUGUCUGUGUGUGCAGAGCACCAGGGAACCUGAUGAAUGAACGAGGCGUCAUGUGGUUACUCCUCUGCAAGGACCUGGGUUCUCUGUCCGCCACCAGGGCUCAGGAGACCAGCUGGAUGGAGAGUAUAAAUGGUGACCCUAUAAGCGACAGAUGGAGAAGGCCAUGUGGAGACAAAGGCAAAGGGGGAAUGGAUGCAGCCACAAACCUAGGGAUUCCUGGAGCCGCCAGAAGCUGGAAGAGGCAAAGAGGGAUUUCUCUGUAGAACCUGAGGAGGCAGUGUGGAUCUUGAUUUGAGACUUCUGGCCUCCAGACCUGUGAGAGAAUAAACUCCUGCUGUUCUAAG
Long non-coding RNA from Neofelis nebulosa (Clouded leopard), 511 nucleotides. RefSeq lists it as uncharacterized. The record is from RefSeq and is a predicted model, not a curated record. Lineage: Eukaryota; Metazoa; Chordata; Mammalia; Carnivora; Felidae. The transcript is spliced from 3 exons.